RNAcentral lists this non-coding RNA (90 nucleotides) under bovine gut metagenome. Its description in RNAcentral is "Glycine riboswitch". It matches the Rfam family "Glycine riboswitch aptamer", at positions 8 to 87 of the family's 94-position model. From Rfam's summary of the family: This family represents the bacterial glycine riboswitch. Glycine riboswitches usually consist of two metabolite-binding aptamers domains with similar structures in tandem. The record is from RNAcentral.
CGGCACUCUGGAGACGCCCGCCGUCUGCGCGGGGGCCGAAGGUGAAAGCGGCGGGAAGCGCCGCGAAUCUCUCAGGCAAAAGGACAGAGU